Molecule: ribosomal RNA, 468 nt
Filed under: uncultured bacterium
Lineage: Bacteria
Description: partial 16S ribosomal RNA
Rfam family: Bacterial small subunit ribosomal RNA
Source: RNAcentral
GACGAACGCUGGCGGCGUGCUUAACACAUGCAAGUCGAACGGAAAGGCCCUGCUUUUGUGGGGUGCUCGAGUGGCGAACGGGUGAGUAACACGUGAGUAACCUGCCCUUGACUGUGGGAUAACUUCAGGAAACUCGGGCUAAUACCGGAUAGGAGCUCCUGCUGCACGGGGGGGGUGGGAGAGUUUCGGCGGUUGGGGAUGGACUCGCGGCUUAUCAGCUUGUUGGUGGGGUAGUGUCUUACCAAGGCAUUGACGGGUAGCCGGCCUGGGAGGGUGACCGGCCACAUUGGGACUGGGAUACGGCCCGUACUCCUACGGGAGGCAGAAGUGGGGAAUAUUGCACAAUGGGCGGAGGCCUGAUGCAGCAACGCCGCGUGCGGGAUGACGGCCUUCGGGUUGUAAACCGCUUUCGCCUGUGACGAAGCGUGAGUGACGGUAAUGGGUAAAGAAGCACCGGCUAACUACGUG